GAGUUUGAUCCUGGCUCAGGACGAACGCUGGCGGCGCGCCUAACACAUGCAAGUCGAAUGAGCGAGAGAGAGCUUGCUUUCUCAAGCGAGUGGCGAACGGGUGAGUAACGCGUGAGGAACCUGCCUCAAAGAGGGGGACAACAGUUGGAAACGACUGCUAAUACCGCAUAAGCCCACAGCUCGGCAUCGAGCAGAGGGAAAAGGAGCAAUCCGCUUUGAGAUGGCCUCGCGUCCGAUUAGCUAGUUGGUGAGGUAAUGGCCCACCAAGGCGACGAUCGGUAGCCGGACUGAGAGGUUGAACGGCCACAUUGGGACUGAGACACGGCCCAGACUCCUACGGGAGGCAGCAGUGGGGAAUAUUGCACAAUGGGGGAAACCCUGAUGCAGCGACGCCGCGUGGAGGAAGAAGGUCUUCGGAUUGUAAACUCCUGUUGUUGAGGAAGAUAAUGACGGUACUCAACAAGGAAGUGACGGCUAACUACGUGCCAGCAGCCGCGGUAAAACGUAGGUCACAAGCGUUGUCCGGAAUUACUGGGUGUAAAGGGAGCGCAGGCGGGAAGACAAGUUGGAAGUGAAAUCUAUGGGCUCAACCCAUAAACUGCUUUCAAAACUGUUUUUCUUGAGUAGUGCAGAGGUAGGCGGAAUUCCCGGUGUAGCGGUGGAAUGCGUAGAUAUCGGGAGGAACACCAGUGGCGAAGGCGGCNUACUGGGCACCAACUGACGCUGAGGCUCGAAAGUGUGGGUAGCAAACAGGAUUAGAUACCCUGGUAGUCCACACCGUAAACGAUGAUUACUAGGUGUUGGAGGAUUGACCCCUUCAGUGCCGCAGUUAACACAAUAAGUAAUCCACCUGGGGAGUACGACCGCAAGGUUGAAACUCAAAGGAAUUGACGGGGGCCCGCACAAGCAGUGGAGUAUGUGGUUUAAUUCGACGCAACGCGAAGAACCUUACCAAGUCUUGACAUCCUGCGACGCACAUAGAAAUAUGUGUUUCCUUCGGGACGCAGAGACAGGUGGUGCAUGGUUGUCGUCAGCUCGUGUCGUGAGAUGUUGGGUUAAGUCCCGCAACGAGCGCAACCCUUACUGUCAGUUACUACGCAAGAGGACUCUGGCAGGACUGCCGUUGACAAAACGGAGGAAGGUGGGGAUGACGUCAAAUCAUCAUGCCCUUUAUGACUUGGGCUACACACGUACUACAAUGGCGUUAAACAAAGAGAAGCAAGACCGCGAGGUGGAGCAAAACUCAGAAACAACGUCCCAGUUCGGACUGCAGGCUGCAACUCGCCUGCACGAAGUCGGAAUUGCUAGUAAUCGUGGAUCAGCAUGCCACGGUGAAUACGUUCCCGGGCCUUGUACACACCGCCCGUC
RNAcentral lists this ribosomal RNA (1368 nucleotides) under uncultured bacterium. RNAcentral's name for it is "bacterial SSU rRNA". It matches the Rfam family "Bacterial small subunit ribosomal RNA". The record is from RNAcentral.